Molecule: ribosomal RNA, 501 nt
Filed under: uncultured bacterium
Lineage: Bacteria
Description: partial 16S ribosomal RNA
Rfam family: Bacterial small subunit ribosomal RNA
Source: RNAcentral
AUUGAACGCUGGCGGCAGGCUUAACACAUGCAAGUCGAGCGGGGGAAGGUAGCUUGCUACCGGACCUAGCGGCGGACGGGUGAGUAAUGUUUAGGAAUCUGCCUAUUAGUGGGGGACAACAUCUCGAAAGGGAUGCUAAUACCGCAUAUGUCCUACGGGAGAAAGCAGGGGAUCUUCGGACCUUGCGCCAAUAGAUGAGGCUAAGUCGGAUUAGCUAGGUGGUGGGGUAAAGGCCUACCAAGGCGACGAUCUGUAGCGGGUCUGAGGGGAUGAUCCGCCACACUGGGACUGAGACACGGCCCAGACUCCUACGGGAGGCAGCAGUGGGGAAUAUUGGACAAUGGGGGGAACCCUGAUCCAGCCAUGCCGCGUGUGUGAAGAAGGCCUUAUGGUUGUAAAGCACUUUAAGCGAGGAGGAGGCUACUCUAGUUAAUACCUAGGGAUAGUGGACGUUACUCGCAGAAUAAGCACCGGCUAACUCUGUGCCAGCCGCCGCCGUAA